UUAUUAUUAUUAUUAUUAUUAAGCUUACCAUUUUUUUUUUCAUUUCCAAAAAUAUAUCAUGCAGAAAAUUGCCAAGGCAGUUGGAAAUUGGUUUUAUGACAGGAAUCCUUUCCAAAAGAUUGAUUGUCCUUACCCUUGCAAUCCAACCUGCCCCAUCGACAACCUUUUCAAUCAGCCAAAUAACCUAGAAGUAUAGAUUUUAGUGCCUCAAAAUUCAUCUCAUUUCAUUUUUAUUAUUCAAAAGAGCAUUGUGGGAG
This 257-nucleotide unclassified non-coding RNA is filed under the name Hevea brasiliensis (rubber tree). Lineage: Eukaryota; Viridiplantae; Streptophyta; Magnoliopsida; Malpighiales; Euphorbiaceae. The record is from RNAcentral.